This 254-nucleotide ribosomal RNA is filed under the name uncultured bacterium. RNAcentral's name for it is "partial 16S ribosomal RNA". It matches the Rfam family "Bacterial small subunit ribosomal RNA", at positions 524 to 776 of the family's 1533-position model. The record is from RNAcentral.
CACGUAGGGGGCAAGCGUUGUCCGGAUUCAUUGGGCGUAAAGAGCUCGUAGGCGGUUCGAUAAGUCGGGUGUGAAACCUCCAGGCUCAACCUGGAGACGCCACCCGAUACUGUCGUGACUAGAGUCCAGUAGGGGAGCGUGGAAUUCCUGGUGUAGCGGUGAAAUGCGUAGAGAUCAGGAAGAACAUCGGUGGCGAAGGCGCUCUGCUGGACCAUAACUGACACUCAGGGACGAAAGCUAGGGGAGCGAAUGGG